This 71-nucleotide transfer RNA is filed under the name Cordylochernes scorpioides. RNAcentral describes it as "tRNA-Gly". The record is from RNAcentral. Lineage: Eukaryota; Metazoa; Arthropoda; Arachnida; Pseudoscorpiones; Chernetidae.
UGCAUCGGCUGGGAAUCGAACCCGGGCCGCCCGCGUGGCAGGCGAGCAUUCUACCACUUAACCACCGAUGG